GUGCAUCUUAGUGAAAGAACUCCACAUCCUCUACAGUUUUGUCAAGGAAUGGGGGCGGGGGGGGCGUCUGAUCAUGCCUCCGGAUGCAGCUGCCAGACUUAGAAACAGGACAGAGGAAUGCGUGGAACCGCAUCUUAAAUGUGCAGUUAGCACAAUCCAGAAGGGGAAACCACAUAUUUAAUACCCUGGGAUUUUCAACAGCUCCCGGUAAGAUCCUGGCAAAAUGGACCCCCCGUUCCUCUUAUUGAUGUCUAGCUGCCAGCCGCUGUACGUUUUACCACACCUCCUGUCUUUCAAAACACAUGCUGGUGUUUUAACACUUGUUGACUUAUGAUUUAGAGGAGGCAGAAGAAUCCCUGAAGAAUUCCAGAUGGGAAUCAGAAGGCUUGCUGUGUAAUUCUGACUUGCCUCAAAUAAGUGACCUUGGAUAAACCACAGAAGCUGUGUUGUCCUCUUUCUCCUCAUGGAACAAACAUGAGGGGUUGACCUGUUACUUAGAAAUUUACAACUCCAAAAUUCUGUGAACAAAACAAUAAAUUGAUUUCCGGUAACCA
Molecule: long non-coding RNA, 554 nt
Organism: Suricata suricatta (meerkat)
Lineage: Eukaryota; Metazoa; Chordata; Mammalia; Carnivora; Herpestidae
Exons: 2
Source: RefSeq, a predicted model, not a curated record